Long non-coding RNA from Medicago truncatula (barrel medic), 2091 nucleotides. RefSeq lists it as uncharacterized. The record is from RefSeq and is a predicted model, not a curated record. The transcript has 3 exons. Lineage: Eukaryota; Viridiplantae; Streptophyta; Magnoliopsida; Fabales; Fabaceae.
AAUAAGAUAAAAAGAAAAAACAUGUCAUUCUAUUAUUCAAUUCAAACCUUUUUUUCCUUAGAAAAUUUAUUCAAUUCAAACUCAAGUGUCUUACAUUAUUUACUUAUCUGGUUUUAAGAGGCAGGAAGGAAAAUGAAUGUUUUUCGCUUCCAUGAUGGUGUGUCACAUUCGUAACAGAGUUUUUAUGGCCAUAUCAAGGUUUUGUGAUGAUGGUAACAAAUGUUUUGCUGUGAUUUCUCAUCCUGAAAACAGGACCUCACACUCCUUAACCUUGACUCAAAUAAGUGGAGCUAUCCAACCCCAUAGCAUGAAAUCAAAGGGUAAACACUUAUUUUGUUUCCUAAAUGUGUCUUAUGUUAGUAAUUUUAGUGAUCAAAUUGACUAGCGGAAGACACAUUCAAUUGACAAACUAAUUAACAAAAGACACAACCAAACUGGCUUAUGAAAGAUGUAUAUAUUUCUGUAAGUUUUGAUAUAUUCAAAACCUAUUGUCGCAACACCACAACGUUUAAGAGCCAAAGGGAUUGUUUAAUCCGCAAUCAAUUUGAAAAUUUCAGGAAUUUUUAUUUCAGCUAUGUUGCCAAUAGCACGCUAUAGCGGUGUAGUUUGGCAGCGCUGCCCUCCACUUCCGCACCAUAGGCCCGAAAAGCGCCAUUGAGAGUAUCAUCACUAGCGGCCUAUAUUAGUGGUUAAAAAGCAGCGCCAUUGCGGCGCUGGUGCUAUCCCGGUACCGUUGUGAUUUGAUAUCUGCUAUUGCAAUUUUAGGGAAAAAUUCUCAAAAAUCCUGUUACCGUAUCUUUGAGUUUGAGUUCUGUCAUUGUUGCCUUGUAUUGACCAUGAAAAUAAGGAAGUUAGUGUCAUUCACAGAGAUAACUUGUGUAGCAAGUUAUCUUGUUAGUUAUCCAUAAUUAACUGUCAUAGCUAGAAUCUUGUAUAGCGUAUCUACAAUAGCUAUCAUACACACUCUUGUGUCCUAUAAGACAAAUAUGGUAUGACUUAUGAGAGCCUGGUUAUGUCAUCAUUGUUCUCCAUCCUUGCUCUAUUUCUGUGCAAAAGUUUGCACUGUCCAUCCUUUCUAUUUCUGCUCGAGUUCUUUUUUGGUUCGUUUCUGGUUUCGUUCUUCUCCUUCCUUUAUGUUUUUGCAUUGUUAUGUUUGUUUUUGGAAUUUAUGUUUAAUUUAUGUUUUUGACAACAAAGAAUUUCAGAGACUAAAUUGAUGGCUCUCAAAUUUUUUAAUGAAUAUAAGUGAUUCACUCUUUUAACCUAUUGACCAUUAUGCUACUUUAUUAUUGAAGCAAUCCCCAAGUUAGUCAUGAAAUUGUAGGAGUCGAACACUGGAUUUGAGUGGUUGUUCCAAUGUUAUCACAGAAUAGGGAAGGAAUUUAAAAUGGUAUACACAGUUCACCUAAUAGAUUGAGUAAACACAUGACCUUAGAUGUUGUAUUUGCAACUAGUCUUGUUGUGUGUGAUUCAAAAUCAUUUUAAUCUGAAGCUACUUGUUUCUCAAGAAAGUGGAAAUACAAGGCGGUUUUCUUGCUCAGCAAGUCUGUUGAGACGCAAGGCGGUUUCUUGAAGUGCAAGACAAAUAGAGCUAAUUUGUUGAUAGCAAAUGAUAAAUAUGGUGUAGUGAAAGUGAUGUAUUGUAAUGAAACAAUAAGACUUCUGAACUGUUAUGAAUCUACACCAGUUUUAAUGGAGUCUGGUAGGAGGCUUUGCAUUAGUCAUAUUAAAUUUAUCCAACAAUUCUUGAAUAUAAUCAUGUUGAGAUAAAAGGAUACCCUCCUUUGUGGGAAUGAGUUCAAUUCUCAGGAAUUAAUGAGGAUGGCCAAGAUAUUUAAGUGAGAACCUAUUUGACAGUUGUUCCAUUUACUGCUUUAAGAAUUCACUUUGAAUACAUGUCAAAAGAAGAUCAUCUUCAUAGAACAAAAGAAAGACAUUGUUGUUGUAAAUGAAUAAUGAGCAAAAGAAUAAGCAUAACAUGAGCAAAUUGUACAGGUUAAAGAUUCAAUACAAUUUAGGUAUCGCUUUCAAUAUGACUUAGUUGUUAAUUCGAAUUUUAGUAAACUCAAAAGUGAAACCGACUUUACAUUG